CUGGCGGCGUGCUUAACACAUGCAAGUCGAACGGGGACUUCGGUCCUAGUGGCGAACGGGUGAGUAAAGUGCAAAUAACCUGCCUCAAAGAUGGGGACAACAGCUCGAAAGGGUUGCUAAUACCGAAUGUUGUAUAGAAAGGGCAUUCUGAUUAUACUAAAGAUUUAUCGCUUUGAGAGGGGUUUGCAUCCGAUUAGGCAGUUGGCGGGUAAAAGCCCACCAAACCGACGAUCGGUAACCGGUCUGAGAGGAUGAACGGUCACAUUGGAACUGAGACACGGUCCAGACUCCUACGGGAGGCAGCAGUGGGGAAUAUUCCACAAUGGAGGGAACUCUGAUGGAGCGACGCCGCGUGAAGUGAAGAAGGGUUUAGGCUCGUAAAGCUCUUUUCUUGCAGAUGAAUGACUUAUUAGAUAAGUAGGGACAGUAUGUAAGGAAUAAGCCACGGCUAACUACGUGCCAGCCGCAGC
Molecule: ribosomal RNA, 470 nt
Filed under: uncultured bacterium
Lineage: Bacteria
Description: bacterial SSU rRNA
Rfam family: Bacterial small subunit ribosomal RNA
Source: RNAcentral